This 497-nucleotide ribosomal RNA is filed under the name uncultured bacterium. Its description in RNAcentral is "partial 16S ribosomal RNA". It matches the Rfam family "Bacterial small subunit ribosomal RNA", at positions 28 to 507 of the family's 1533-position model. The record is from RNAcentral.
GAUGAACGCUGGCGGCGUGCCUAAUACAUGCAAGUCGAGCGAACGGACGAGAAGCUUGCUUCUCUGAUGUUAGCGGGUGACGGGUGAGUAACAGGUGAAUAACCUACCUAUAAGACUGGGAUAGCUGGGGGAAACCGUAGCUAAUAACGGAUAAUCUUUUGAACUUCAUGGUUCAAAAGUGAAAGACGGUCUUGCGGUCACGUAUAGAUGGAACCGCGCUGCAUUAGCUAGUUGGUAAGGUAACGGCUUACCAAGGCAACGAUGCAUAGCCGACCUGAGAGGGUGAUCGGCCACACUGGAACUGAGACACGGUCCAGACUCCUACGGGAGGCAGCAGUAGGGAAUUUUCCGCAAUGGGCGAAAGCCUGACGGAGCAACGCCGCGUGAGUGAUGAAGGUCUUCGGAUCGUAAAACUCUGUUAUUAGGGAAGACCAGAUGUGUAAGUAACUGUGCACAUCUUGACGGUACCUAAUCAGAAAGCCACGGCUAACUACGUG